UUGUAUUGUUAGCCCAAAGGUGACUUUACAAUGAUGCACCAAGGCUCUUACCGUAAUUAGAUUUAUAUGUUUUUCAAGUUUGAUUACGGACUAUCUAAUUAAUAGCCCAAGUUGAUUAGAUAGAUAUGUUAUCAUCCAUUGAUUGCAUGCAUCACUUUUGGAUGAUAUUAAAUAAAAUAUGUUGUUUCCGCAAUUUUGAAUGCCUCUUCCCUAUCAAGCCAACUGUCUGCCGUUGAAACCUUGACUGGAAAUAAUUAUGUGAGAUGG
This 267-nucleotide long non-coding RNA is filed under the name Phoenix dactylifera (date palm). RNAcentral describes it as "long non-coding RNA (PDAC_LNC007714)". Lineage: Eukaryota; Viridiplantae; Streptophyta; Magnoliopsida; Arecales; Arecaceae. The record is from RNAcentral.